ACCAAACCAUUAAGGGCCUGCCUCGUAGGGUGGUGCAGCAGAGAAGCCGAAACACAGAGCAGGCCCAGGAGGGGUUUGCACGGUUCCUUCACCAAACCACAGCUGUGCGUGGUCCUCCCUCACCUUGGUCAGAGCCUCGUGGAGUGCUGCCACGGGGAUGUGAAGUGUCCUGUGUCAGUCCAUGUCCAAACAGUGUGCUCUAGUGCGUUCAUGUGGUGCAGUUUCCUCUGCCGUACAGAACCUGAUGGGUGUCUGCCUGGAGCUGGAUAUCCUGCGGCACGAGGUGAGCAGCGAGCGAUGGUUUUUCUCACGCUCUGAGUGGUGGUUCACGUCUGCCUGUGGUCCGGUGUCACUGUCGGUCCAGCUGCUGUUACUUCCACCAAGAGGAGCAACCCUCUGCUUGUUGGCAUUAUCCUUUGUGUGACUGCACAGUGACCCGAUCCAUCCGAGAGCCAGGGGAAAAACAAAGUGCAGGGAGGGCGGGGGGAAGUUAGUUUUCAGUGGGAUCAGUUCCUUGCUCCAAACACUUGCAUAAGCGAGACAGAAGACUUGGCCUGGGCACAAGAACAAACAGCGUGGGCACAGAGGGAACACAGUGUCCACACCAGCUCAAACUGGUACUGGUAUCUUGUAUGUCAGAAGAUACCCUGAGGGCUCUUGAUGUGAAAGUUGUUGAGCCGUAAUCUUCCACACCUAGACACUUCUGAACUUACCCGGGACGGCCACAACUACACUUUAGGCUUCCUCCAUGGAAGUGGAUCUGUUAAGUCCAUGGUUUGCCCUUGAGAUUUUUGUCACACGUUGAAGCCUUGACCAUCCAAACAGUACAAACCUAAAUUUUACGUGCAGUGCAUAAGGUAGGAGCCACACACCAGGCUGCUUUCACCUACUGCUUUUUGCUGGAUAGAAAACCGCCACAGCUCAGCUCGGGGCCUGGAAGAGGAACAUCAACGCAAGGGUUCCUUGGCUUCAGCCUCUGUGUGCCUUUGGAUGGGGACACCACCCCUUCCUGCGGGUGUGACGGGAUGUUUGGAAAGGCAGGUGGGAAGGCAGGGAGAAUUGUGGCUGGAGCAGAACUCAGCAAAGCUGCUGGAAGGCCACUUGGAACAGUUGCAGCGCAUUGACCCAGUGAGAUAGAUCUGUGUAGCUCGUUUGGAUGUGUGGAGAGGGAAGUCAAGCUUGAAACUUAAACCUGGAGCUGUGUGCUGCAUGCA
Molecule: long non-coding RNA, 1214 nt
Organism: Empidonax traillii (willow flycatcher)
Lineage: Eukaryota; Metazoa; Chordata; Aves; Passeriformes; Tyrannidae
Exons: 3
Source: RefSeq, a predicted model, not a curated record